Molecule: long non-coding RNA, 736 nt
Organism: Callithrix jacchus (white-tufted-ear marmoset)
Lineage: Eukaryota; Metazoa; Chordata; Mammalia; Primates; Cebidae
Source: RefSeq, a predicted model, not a curated record
AUUAAGUUACGCUUUCAAGAUGACUCCUAAUGGAGCUCAGAAAGAAGAAAAUCACCACAGGUAGCCCCUGUCAGGUUAUUGAUGAAGGCCAGAAGAUACCAGAAGUGGUGGACUGCUUGAGGGUGCAGAAAGGCUGAGGUCAAGUCAACAUACCCAGUGGCAGCUUUUUGUUAUGUGGGUAUCCUGUGCCAGCCACUGUGCUGAAUUCAAGGUAGAAAUAUAGACAGUGAGGGUUGGCAAGGACCUAGGAGGAAAAAACUCCUGUUUUGGAGCCAAAGUUUGAUUGGAAUGUUAAGACUCACGUGGCAGGGAGAGAGGAAGGAGUGAGAAAACAAUACUGUACAUAAAUCAGCAGAGACUGAAAGAUGCUGGGAAAAUCAGAGAAAGGAAAAGGAAAUUUGAGCGGCAGUUUAUCAGCAAAGAUGUGGGGGGAGUAUAUGUGAUUCCCAGUGUUCUAUGAAGGAAGCAAUGUGGAGAGCGCCCUCUAAAGCAACCGUUAUUGUGCCAUAUUACAGUCAAGGAAGCCACAUCUGAGGAUGUGAAUGUUUAAAUAAUUGGUCCAAGGGCACACAGUGGAUGAAGAGCAGAACUGGGAAGUGAGGCCAUGGCCGUCUGACUCAAAAAUCCAUUAUCAUACGGGGACUCUCCAUACUAUCUUUGCAACUGUUCCAUAAAUCUAAAAUUAUUCCAAAAUAAAAAGGUCAUUUAAAAAAAUAAAAUUAAUUGCCGAAAUGGG